Molecule: long non-coding RNA, 668 nt
Filed under: Homo sapiens (human)
Lineage: Eukaryota; Metazoa; Chordata; Mammalia; Primates; Hominidae
Description: HSALNT0387560
Source: RNAcentral
ACUGGAGGCAUAAAAUUGGAAUCCUAACUUCCAAUAUCAAAUUUGAGCACAAACCCUAUAAAAUGUAUCUUGUCAGAAUGUGCCAGAACCGCUAAGCUCUUUUCGGCGGAACAAAUUGCAGCUGGUGUCCUUAAAGGUCGAGAAUCAAACUUGCUGUAUCCUCAGGGUUUAGGCAGCAAAUUGGUCCCAGUUUUCACCCUGCCGCAGGGCUGGCUGGGGAGGGCAGCGGUUUAGAUUAGCCGUGGCCUAGGCCGUUUGACGGGGUGACACGAGCCUGCAGGGCCGAGUCCAAGGCCCGGAGAUAGGACCAACCGUCAGGAAUGCGAGGAAUGUUUUUCUUCGGACUCUAUCGAGGCACACAGACAGACCAUGGGGAUUCUGUCUACAGUGACAGCCUUAACAUUUGCCAGAGCCCUGGACGGCUGCAGAAAUGGCAUUGCCCACCCUGCAAGUGAGAAGCACAGACUCGAGAAAUGUAGGGAACUCGAGAGCAGCCACUCGGCCCCAGGAUCAACCCAGCACCGAAGAAAAACAACCAGAAGAAAUUAUUCUUCAGCCUGAAAUGAAGCCGGGAUCAAAUGGUUGCUGAUCAGAGCCCAUAUUUAAAUUGGAAAAGUCAAAUUGAGCAUUAUUAAAUAAAGCUUGUUUAAUAUGUCUCAAACAGAAAA